GACGAACGCUGGCGGCGUGCUUAACACAUGCAAGUCGAACGGAAAGGCCCUGCUUUUGUGGGGUGCUCGAGUGGCGAACGGGUGAGUAACACGUGAGUAACCUGCCCUUGACUUUGGGAUAACUUCAGGAAACUGGGGCUAAUACCGGAUAGGAGCUCCUGCUGCAUGGUGGGGGUUGGAAAGUUUCGGCGGUUGGGGAUGGACUCGCGGCUUAUCAGCUUGUUGGUGGGGUAGUGGCUUACCAAGGCUUUGACGGGUAGCCGGCCUGAGAGGGUGACCGGCCACAUUGGGACUGAGAUACGGCCCAGACUCCUACGGGAGGCAGCAGUGGGGAAUAUUGCACAAUGGGCGGAAGCCUGAUGCAGCAACGCCGCGUGCGGGAUGACGGCCUUCGGGUUGUAAACCGCUUUCGCCUGUGACGAAGCGUGAGUGACGGUAAUGGGUAAAGAAGCACCGGCUAACUACGUGCCAGCAGCCGCGGUGAUACGUAGGGUGCGAGCGUUGUCCGGAUUUAUUGGGCGUAAAGGGCUCGUAGGUGGUUGAUCGCGUCGGAAGUGUAAUCUUGGGGCUUAACCCUGAGCGUGCUUUCGAUACGGGUUGACUUGAGGAAGGUAGGGGAGAAUGGAAUUUCCUGGUGGAGCGGUGGAAUGCGCAAAUAUCAGGAGGAACACCAGUGGCGAAGGCGGUUCUCUGGGCCUUUCCUGACGCUGAGGAGCGAAAGCGUGGGGAGCGAACAGGCUUAGAUACCCUGGUAGUCCACGCUGUAAACGGUGGGUACUAGGUGUGGGGUCCAUUCCACGGGUUCCGUGCCGUAGCUAACGCUUUAAGUACCCCGCCUGGGGAGUACGGCCGCAAGGCUAAAACUCAAAGGAAUUGACGGGGCCCCGCACAAGCGGCGGAGCAUGCGGAUUAAUUCGAUGCAACGCGUAGAACCUUACCUGGGUUUGACAUGGAUCGGGAGCGCUCAGAGAUGGGUGUGCCUCUUUUGGGGUCGGUUCACAGGUGGUGCAUGGCUGUCGUCAGCUCGUGUCGUGAGAUGUUGGGUUAAGUCCCGCAACGAGCGCAACCCUUGUUCACUGUUGCCAGCACGUUAUGGUGGGGACUCAGUGGAGACCGCCGGGGUCAACUCGGAGGAAGGUGGGGAUGACGUCAAGUCAUCAUGCCCCUUAUGUCCAGGGCUUCACGCAUGCUACAAUGGCUGGUACAGAGAGUGGCGAGCCUGUGAGGGUGAGCGAAUCUCGGAAAGCCGGUCUCAGUUCGGAUUGGGGUCUGCAACUCGACCUCAUGAAGUCGGAGUCGCUAGUAAUCGCAGAUCAGCAACGCUGCGGUGAAUACGUUCCCGGG
This 1344-nucleotide ribosomal RNA is filed under the name uncultured bacterium. RNAcentral describes it as "16S ribosomal RNA". It matches the Rfam family "Bacterial small subunit ribosomal RNA", at positions 28 to 1378 of the family's 1533-position model. The record is from RNAcentral.